UCCCUGGGGGCUCAGAUGGUAAAGAAUCUGCCUGCAAUGCAGAAGACCUAGGUUUGAUACCUAGGUUGGGAA
Molecule: non-coding RNA, 72 nt
Organism: Bos taurus (domestic cattle)
Lineage: Eukaryota; Metazoa; Chordata; Mammalia; Artiodactyla; Bovidae
Source: Rfam